This 1461-nucleotide long non-coding RNA is filed under the name Oncorhynchus kisutch (coho salmon). RNAcentral describes it as "lncRNA (ENSOKIG00005044059.1)". The record is from RNAcentral. Lineage: Eukaryota; Metazoa; Chordata; Actinopteri; Salmoniformes; Salmonidae.
AUGGUGAUGUCCUGUGUUGUUCCCCUCUACAUGGUGAUGUCCUGUGUUGUUCUACAUGGUGAUGUCCUGUGUUGUUCCCCUCUACAUGGUGAUGUCCUGUGUUGUUCCCCUCUAUAUGGUGAUGUCCUGGUUGUUCUCCUCUACAUGAUGAUGUCCUGUGUUGUUCCCCUCUACAUGGUGAUGUCCUGUGUUGUUUCCCUCUACAUGGUGAUGUGCUGUGUUGUUCCCCUCUACAUGGUGAUGUCCUGUGUUGUUCUCCUCUACAUGGUGAUGUCCUGUGUUGUUCCCCUCUACAUGGUGAUGUCCUGUGUUGUUCCCCUCUACAUGGUGAUGUCCUGUGUUGUUCCCCUCUACAUGGUGAUGUCCUGUGUUGUUUCCCUCUACAUGGUGAUGUCCUGUGUUGUUCCCCUCUACAUGGUGAUGUCCUGUGUUGUUCCCCUCUAUAUGGUGAUGUCCUGUGUUGUUCUCCUCUACAUGAUGAUGUCCUGUGUUGUUCCCCUCUACAUGGUGAUGUCCUGUGUUGUUCUCCUCUACAUGAUGAUGUCCUGUGUUGUUCCCCUCUACAUGGUGAUGUCCUGUGUUGUUUCCCUCUACAUGGUGAUGUGCUGUGUUGUUCCCCUCUACAUGGUGAUGUGCUGUGUUGUUCCCCUCUACAUGGUGAUGUCCUGUGUUGUUCCCCUCUACAUGGUGAUGUGCUGUGUUGUUCCCCUCUACAUGGUGAUGUCCUGUGUUGUUCCCCUCUACAUGGUGAUGUGCUGUGUUGUUCCCCUCUACAUGGUGAUGUGCUGUGUUGUUCCCCUCUACAUGGUGAUGUGCUGUGUUGUUCCCCUCUACAUGGUGAUGUGCUGUGUUGUUCCUCUCUACAUGGUGAUGUCCUGUGUUGUUCCCCUCUACAUGGUGAUGUCCUGUGUUGUUCCCCUCUACAUGGUGAUGUCCUGUGUUGUUCUACAUGGUGAUGUGCUGUGUUGUUCCCCUCUACAUGGUGAUGUCCUGUGUUGUUCCCCUCUACAUGGUGAUGUCCUGUGUUGUUCCCCUCUACAUGGUGAUGUGCUGUGUUGUUCCCCUCUACAUGGUGAUGUGCUGUGUUGUUCCCCUCUACAUGGUGAUGUGCUGUGUUGUUCCCCUCUACAUGGUGAUGUCCUGUGUUGUUCCCCUCUACAUGGUGAUGUGCUGUGUUGUUCCCCUCUACAUGGUGAUGUCCUGUGUUGUUCCCCUCUACAUGGUGAUGUCCUGUGUUGUUCCCCUCUACAUGGUGAUGUGCUGUGUUGUUCCCCUCUACAUGGUGAUGUGCUGUGUUGUUCCCCUCUACAUGGUGAUGUGCUGUGUUGUUCCCCUCUACAUGGUGAUGUGCUGUGUUGUUCCUCUCUACAUGGUGAUGUCCUGUGUUGUUCCCCUCUACAUGGUGAUGUCCUGUGUUGUUCCCCUCUACAUGGUGAUGUCCUGUGUUGUUCUACAUGGUGA